AAAAAAAAAAAGAAAGAAAGAAAGAUACACGUAUAUUUAAUAAACGCUUGGAUUAAAGUGUUGAAUCAUCCUAAUGAUGAUCCUAAACGUGUUAAACGAUUGAAAUAUUGUAUAAUGAUCUAAUGUAAGGAUAAUAGGCAAAAAGGAUAUGGCAUGAUACACAUCUUAUAGUUUAAUAAUGAUGAAGAAAUAUGUCUGUAUAGGUUGUCAAAUCCUUCUCGAUUGGAUCGCGUGAACAAAGAAGAGAAAAAGAGGAGAUAAGGUAAAGAAUCUUUUUCUUUCGCCUAAAGGAUCGGAACUUCUUAGGGGCUGUUCCUAGUACCUGAUUAUCCUAUCCUUGCGGCACGAAAACUCUCUUUUCUUUCCAUUGACGAAACAAAAACAAAAACAAAAAAAAAAAAACAGCAACAACAAGAAAAACCAUCCUCGUGAUAAUCGAGUUCUCUGUUCUCUCGCGUCUCGCAAGCGCCAGCGAAUUCCUCUGUCCAGUGUUCACACUCGGUAUAGAGAAAGAAAAAAAAUAUCGUAAAACGGUGUUCUUUUUAUUGUUGCAUACCUUGACUGCCUAGUACUUAAGUAUACAUAAUACAUGCAUAUAUAUAUAUAUACAUAUAGAGAGAGACUGCUCUUCGUAAUUUUUCUUCUUUCUUGACACGUUAAUAUGCAUACACAUGAACACGAUGCUUGUCAAGGUGCAACGAAAGGUGCUGACGAAUGCUUGUUUGCGAAAUUUUUGUACGUUGAAAACGUGGAAAACGAAACUUUUCAACUCGUUCGUUCUCCUCGACCCGGUGCGAAUUUCCAAAUCUCGCACAAACACGAACCGAACGAAUAGAGGAAGAGAUAUAAUCGUCGCGACGGCGGAAGUACGAACAAGAAUUCAAGAAAAGGGAAAAAGACAACCAAAAAAAAAAAAAAUAAAUAAAUAAAUAAAUAAAUAAAGUAAAAUAAAACGAGUGAGAGGAAACGAGGUGAAAGUGAUGAAAAAAGCCGAGAGAAAACUUUGAAACACGCCACUCUUGACUUUUUAUUCAGUAUUGUAAUAUCGAUAUGAUAAGCUUCUGGCAAUCGUCUCAUUGUGAUCGGUGAAAAUCUUAUUUUAAAUGCUAUAUCGUGUUUGACACUUUAUUACUAUUAUUACGAUUAUUAUUAUUAUUGUUGUUGUAAUCAACGAACGGAAGGAUUCAUCGUUCGACUUUUUAUCGGUAGGAAUUGCGAUCCUCGGGGCCCAGAAUCAAAAAGAAAAAAAGAAA
This is a long non-coding RNA of Apis dorsata (giant honeybee), 1253 nucleotides long. RefSeq lists it as uncharacterized. Lineage: Eukaryota; Metazoa; Arthropoda; Insecta; Hymenoptera; Apidae. The record is from RefSeq and is a predicted model, not a curated record. The transcript is spliced from 2 exons.